RNAcentral lists this ribosomal RNA (531 nucleotides) under uncultured Planctomycetota bacterium. RNAcentral's name for it is "bacterial SSU rRNA". It matches the Rfam family "Bacterial small subunit ribosomal RNA", at positions 362 to 896 of the family's 1533-position model. The record is from RNAcentral. Lineage: Bacteria; Pseudomonadati; Planctomycetota.
UCUUCGGCAAUGGGCGCAAGCCUGACCGAGCGACGCCGCGUGGAGGAUGAAGGCCUUCGGGUUGUAAACUCCUGGUCGAGGGGGAAAAAGGGCCGCAAGGUCUUGAUUGAUCCCUGGAGGAAGCACGGGCUAAGUUCGUGCCAGCAGCCGCGGUAAGACGAACCGUGCGAACGUUAUUCGGAAUCAUUGGGCUUAAAGCGCGUGUAGGCGGGUUCGUGCGUCUGUCGCUGAAAUCCCCCGGCUCAACCGGGGAAGGGGCGCGGAUACGACGAGUCUGGAGGGGCAUAGGGGGACCUGGAACUUCCGGUGGAGCGGUGAAAUGCGUUGAGAUCGGAAGGAACGCCCGUGGCGAAAGCGAGGUCCUGGAUGCUUACUGACGCUGAGACGCGAAAGCCAGGGGAGCGAACGGGAUUAGAUACCCCGGUAGUCCUGGCCGUAAACGAUGGGUACUGGAUAGGGGGCUCGCCGAUGGGCUCCCUGUCGUAGGGAAACCGUGAAGUACCCCGCCUGGGGAGUAUGGUCGCAAGGCUG